RNAcentral lists this long non-coding RNA (1500 nucleotides) under Equus asinus (donkey). RNAcentral describes it as "lncRNA (ENSEASG00005024879.1)". Lineage: Eukaryota; Metazoa; Chordata; Mammalia; Perissodactyla; Equidae. The record is from RNAcentral.
CGACGCCGCGCGGGCGGCGGGCGGGUGUCGGGCGAGUCUGGGCGGCGUCGGGAGGGACCGGCGAGCGGGGAGGGGCGGAGGCGGGGGGGAGGGGGGAGGAGGAAGAGCGAAGGGUCCUGGCGGGGCUCCCGGCGCCCAGCCGCCCGGGCCCGAGCCCUCAAGCCACCGCCCCCAGGCCCCGCGCAGACGCUGGACGGUCCCCGCCUCCAAACCCCCCGCCCCGGCCAGAGAAUAACUUACCUGUUUGCCGACGGAAUCGCUCCUGCUAGCCCCUCUGACUGACUCCUCCGGCUCACCGUCUUCCCUCUGGGAGGAAGGGGAGGGACUUCCUGCCUCUUUUGAGCGACUUCCGGCGGCUCCCCGGACGACUCUGUCGUGGUCCGAGCACUGGACACCACGACCGAAAAACAGGAUCUCGGAACUGGCCUAGUAAAACCCACAUCGAAUUCCCUUUUCCUGCCCCGAGUGGCCAGCGGACCGUAUGCCGUCUUGUUUUUGUCCAUCAGCUCUUGGCAGAAGUCCCUCGGAGAUGAAACCGGAAGUCCCACCCCUCCCCAAGUGGAAAACGGAAAGCCGAAGGAGUCAACCGAAGGAAGGGGAGACGCGCGUCAGGCUGAGAGCCUGGCGGCGUGUGACCGGGAAGGCCACCUGGGACUUCCAGCGGCUCCCCGAGCGGGUAACCCCCGGGCGAUCCCGCCUCCUCCCUCUCCAUCUCUCCUCACUCCACCCCUUCGCCCGCCCGCGUUCCAUCAUCCAUUAUUUUGCUGAAAGAGGACCUUUACAUCAUAAUGUGACAUUAAGGAAGUCAAUUUGACCUCAUUUUCCUCAUGUAUUAAAUGAGUUAUUUAGGAUGAGAAAAAUGAAGCUCAAAGAAGUGACGUAUUAUUCCCUAGUUCUGCCUGUACUGGCUAACUUUGGUGACUGUUUGCCUCUCUGAUGUCCCACGCUUACUCUCCCACACACACUGCUCCUGCUAAUCUGGCCCUGUGGCCAGGAUGUAGUCCCAGUAAAGAGACUCCCUGGCAAGAGGGAGAUGCUGCACAGACAAGGCGCCAGAACUUCACUCCCACAUCGUCUCCAUAUCAAAGCAGCAUUUUCAAACACACAGAGAAUGUUGAGAAACAUUGAAUAUGUCUGUUUGUCUCAUAUCAAAGAGGCCUAUCAGGAGUUACAGUUUAGUUAGCCUAAAUAUAAAACCUGUUUUAAUGAGAACUAUAUACAUUUUAUGUCUAAUUAGCCAAUUAAUUUGCUAUUCCUGCAUGAAAUUUACAAAACUUGCUAAGAGAAAAAUUUAGAAUGGAGAUGCCUAAUAGGAACUGAAUUAAACUAUCGUGGUUUAAACACAAAGUGGUCUGGGGUGGUGAACAUGAAGUAAUCUACACAGAAUUUGAAGUAUAUUACGAUGUACACCUGAAAUUUAUACAAUGUUAUAAACCAAUGCUACUGCAAUUAAAAAAAAUUUUUUUUUAAACAAAGUGUUACAGCUUUUUUAACUCUAUG